RNAcentral lists this microRNA precursor (96 nucleotides) under Loxodonta africana (African savanna elephant). RNAcentral describes it as "mir-544 microRNA precursor family". It matches the Rfam family "mir-544 microRNA precursor family". The record is from Rfam by way of RNAcentral. Lineage: Eukaryota; Metazoa; Chordata; Mammalia; Proboscidea; Elephantidae.
AUCUCCUGGAGAGUUUGUUAAAAUGUAGAUUCUGAUUCAGCAGGCCUGAGGUGCUACCUGAGUCUGCAUUUUUAACAAGUUCCCAAGUGAUGCCAG